AUCGAACGCUGGCGGCAGGCCUAAUACAUGCAAGUCGAGCGAGCGGCGGACGGGUGAGUAAUGUAUGGGGACUGCCCGAUAGAGGGGGAUAACUACUGGAAACGGUGGCUAAUACCGCAUACUAUCGGAUAACCCAUAUGGGAUUAGCUAGUAGGUGGGGUAAAGGCUCACCUAGGCGACGACCUCUAGCUGGUCUGAGAGGAUGAUCAGCCACACGGGAACUGAGACACGGCCCAGACUCCUACGGAGGCAGCAGUGGGGAAUCUUGCACAAGGGGCGAAAGCCUGACGCAGCCAUGCCGCGGGUAUGAAGAAGGCCUUAGGUUUGUAAAGUACGUUCGGCGGGGAGGCGUUACCCGCAGAAGAAGCGCCGGCUAACUCCGUGCCAGCAGCCGCGGUAAUAC
Molecule: ribosomal RNA, 403 nt
Filed under: uncultured bacterium
Lineage: Bacteria
Description: partial 16S ribosomal RNA
Rfam family: Bacterial small subunit ribosomal RNA
Source: RNAcentral